Non-coding RNA from Struthio camelus australis, 595 nucleotides. The record is from RefSeq and is a predicted model, not a curated record. NCBI's taxonomy places the organism in Eukaryota, Metazoa, Chordata, Aves, Struthioniformes, Struthionidae.
AUAGUUCUGCCCCACAGAAGAGAGACAGUUGAAGUGAAAUAGAUUUUUCCAUCUUGACAAAUCAAAGCUGGAAGAAUGUGAGUUGAAGUGAUCUAAGGCCACUGGCAUUGGCAAGUUGAUGACAUCUCUGGGAGCAGAUUCUGGGAGUUGUAUGCCUGCAGCCCUCUUCCUCUUCUGAAGAGAAAGGCACGUAAACAUGGCAGACCCAGGAGGUUUUCUCAAAGACCCAAGAUAGAAAACUCUGAAGGCAGAUGUCCCAGAAGAUGACGUUUUCACAGAACAAAGUUACAUUUGAGAGCAGGACUGAGUUCUUCUGGAACUUGCUUCAAGUGUUGAAGAUCAUGCCACGAGUUAGAAUUUCUAGCAAACCUGGCUACAGAGAAAGAAAUGGUUAGCGGUGUCUGCACUUGAAGAUUCCUAAAGUUGCUGCUUUUCUCAUGCAUGGGUUCAAAUAAACUCCAACACUACAGCCAGUGAAAGUGCAUGUGAUGUUGCUUGAGUGUCAGAAUAUUUGCUGCAACCUGUGUAGUCAAAUGUCAGCUUAAAAAAAUUAGAGCUGUUCUGCCCCAAGUGUCCUUUCUACUUUUGCUGUGCU